This 484-nucleotide ribosomal RNA is filed under the name uncultured bacterium. RNAcentral's name for it is "partial 16S ribosomal RNA". It matches the Rfam family "Bacterial small subunit ribosomal RNA", at positions 30 to 507 of the family's 1533-position model. The record is from RNAcentral.
AUUGAACGCUAGCGGGAUGCUUUACACAUGCAAGUCGAACGGCAGCGCGGACUUCGGUCUGGCGGCGAGUGGCGAACGGGUGAGUAAUGUAUCGGAACGUGCCCAGUAGCGGGGGAUAACUACGCGAAAGCGUAGCUAAUACCGCAUACGCCCUACUGGGGAAAGCAGGGGAUCGUAAGACCUUGCACUAUUGGAGCGGCCGAUAUCGGAUUAGCUAGUUGGUGAGGUAACGGCUCACCAAGGCGACGAUCCGUAGCUGGUGUGAGAGGACGACCAGCCACACUGGGACUGAGACACGGCCCAGACUCCUACGGGAGGCAGCAGUGGGGAAUUUUGGACAAUGGGGGCAACCUUGAUCCAGCCAUCCCGCGUGUGCGAUGAAGGCCUUCGGGUUGUAAAGCACUUUUGGCAGGAAAGAAACGUCGCGGGCUAAUACCCCGUGGAACUGACGGUACCUGCAGAAUAAGCACCGGCUAACUACGUG